AUCGCUUCUCAGCCUUUUGGCUAAGAUCAAGUGUUGUAUCUGUUCUAAUCAGUAAAAAUAGGACUAGCAUAUAAUUCAGUAGUUCUACUACUAGGGAUAUACUGAAAGGAAAUGAAAACAUUAACUAAUAAUUUAUCAUAUAUUAUCAUAUAUAUUACUUAUAUGAUUAUAUAAAAUGGGACACCAUUC
Suricata suricatta (meerkat) is the source of this 189-nucleotide small nuclear RNA. Its record names the gene U2. It matches the Rfam family "U2 spliceosomal RNA". Rfam says of the family: U2 is a small nuclear RNA (snRNA) component of the spliceosome (involved in pre-mRNA splicing). Complementary binding between U2 snRNA (in an area lying towards the 5' end but 3' to hairpin I) and the branchpoint sequence (BPS) of the intron results the bulging out of an unpaired adenosine, on the BPS, which initiates a nucleophilic attack at the intronic 5' splice site, thus starting the first of two transesterification reactions that mediate splicing. NCBI's taxonomy places the organism in Eukaryota, Metazoa, Chordata, Mammalia, Carnivora, Herpestidae. The record is from Ensembl.